RNAcentral lists this ribosomal RNA (257 nucleotides) under uncultured prokaryote. Its description in RNAcentral is "partial 16S ribosomal RNA". It matches the Rfam family "Bacterial small subunit ribosomal RNA", at positions 524 to 780 of the family's 1533-position model. The record is from RNAcentral.
UACGUAGGUGGCGAGCGUUAUCCGGAAUUAUUGGGCGUAAAGAGCGCGCAGGUGGUUGAUUAAGUCUGAUGUGAAAUCUCACAGCUUAACUGUGAGCGGUCAUUGGAAACUGAGGAACUUGAGUAUAGAAGAGAAGAGUGGAAUUCCAAGUGUAGCGGUGAAAUGCGUAGAUAUCAAGAAGAACACCAGUGGCGAAGGCGGCUCUCUGGCCUAGAACUGACGCUGAAGCGCGAAAGCGUGGGUAGCGAACGGGAUUA